This 73-nucleotide transfer RNA is filed under the name archaeon. RNAcentral describes it as "tRNA-Asn". It matches the Rfam family "tRNA". From Rfam's summary of the family: Transfer RNA (tRNA) molecules are approximately 80 nucleotides in length. Their secondary structure includes four short double-helical elements and three loops (D, anti-codon, and T loops). Further hydrogen bonds mediate the characteristic L-shaped molecular structure. tRNAs have two regions of fundamental functional importance: the anti-codon, which is responsible for specific mRNA codon recognition, and the 3' end, to which the tRNAs corresponding amino acid is attached (by aminoacyl-tRNA synthetases). tRNAs cope with the degeneracy of the genetic code in two manners: having more than one tRNA (with a specific anti-codon) for a particular amino acid; and 'wobble' base-pairing, i.e. permitting non-standard base-pairing at the 3rd anti-codon position. The record is from RNAcentral. RNAcentral also lists the same sequence under 6 other names.
GCCGCCAUAACUCAGUUGGUAGAGUGCGUGGCUGUUAACCACGAUGUCACAGGUUCGAGCCCUGUUGGCGGCG